AAGACCUUGCACUUUUGGAGCGGCCGAUGUCUGAUUAGCUAGUUGGUGGGGUAAUGGCCUACCAAAGCUUCGAUCAGUAGCUGGUCUGAGAGGACGGCCAGCCACACUGGGACUGAGACACGGCCCAGACUCCUACGGGAGGCAGCAGUGGGGAAUUUUGGACAAUGGGCGCAAGCCUGAUCCAGCCAUGCCGCGUGAGUGAAGAAGGCCUUCGGGUUGUAAAGCUCUUUCAGCCGGGAAGAAAAGGUUGCGAUUAAUAAUCGCAAUUUAUGACGGUACCGGAAGAAGAAGCACCGGCUAACUACGUGCCAGCAGCCGCGGCAAUACGUAGGGUGCGAGCGUUAAUCGGAAUUACUGGGCAUAAAGGGUGCGCAGGCGGUUUUGUAAGUCAGAUGUGAAAUCCCCGGGCUUAACCUGGGAACU
Molecule: ribosomal RNA, 423 nt
Filed under: uncultured bacterium
Lineage: Bacteria
Description: bacterial SSU rRNA
Rfam family: Bacterial small subunit ribosomal RNA
Source: RNAcentral